CAAACACUUCCUUACCCUGUUUAGAGUCAAUGUUAUGUCUUUAAGUUGUGUUACAUUCUAAGUUUGGGGUAACCCCAUAAGUAUCUGAAAGUAAGGUGAGUGCGGAAAAAAAUUAAGAAAAACGACCAUCGAAGAAAAAAAGGAGAAAAUAAAAGAAUUUUUUUCGAUGGUACGAGAAAGCACUCACCAAAUGAGAAACACUCAGUUGAAAAAAAAGAGAGAAGAGAAAAUCAAAGGAAAAAAGAGAACUGAGCAAUACAAACUGAAAAAGAAAAGAAUUGAAAAUGAGAUGUAGAACCAGCACAAUGAAA
This 311-nucleotide long non-coding RNA is filed under the name Lathyrus oleraceus (garden pea). RNAcentral's name for it is "Pisum sativum (pea) long non-coding RNA (PSAT_LNC017351)". Lineage: Eukaryota; Viridiplantae; Streptophyta; Magnoliopsida; Fabales; Fabaceae. The record is from RNAcentral.